UGGGGAAUAUUGGACAAUGGGGGCAACCCUGAUCCAGCGAUGCCGCGUGUGUGAAGAAGGCCUGCGGGUUGUAAAGCACUUUAGUUGGGGAGGAAAGGUAUGUACUGCAUAAGUGCAUGCUGUGACGUUACCCAAAGAAUAAGCACCGGCAAACUCUGUGCCAGCAGCCGCGGUAAUACAGAGGGUGCAAGCGUUAAUCGGACUUACUGGGCGUAAAGGGCGCGUAGGCGGCGUGGUAAGUCAUCUGUGAAAUCUCCGAGCUUAACUCGGAACGGUCAGAUGAUACUGCUGUGCUAGAGUACAGAAAGGGCAAUCGGAAUUCUUGGUGUAGCGGUGAAAUGCGUAGAUAUCAAGAGGAACACCUGAGGCGAAGGCGGGUUGCUAGGCUGAUACUGACGCUGAGGCGCGAAAGCCAGGGGAGCAAACGGGAUUAGAUACCCCCGUAGUCCCUGAGCGGGCUGGCAAGGCGCAU
This 472-nucleotide ribosomal RNA is filed under the name uncultured bacterium. RNAcentral's name for it is "bacterial SSU rRNA". It matches the Rfam family "Bacterial small subunit ribosomal RNA", at positions 355 to 825 of the family's 1533-position model. The record is from RNAcentral.